This 302-nucleotide ribosomal RNA is filed under the name uncultured bacterium. RNAcentral's name for it is "partial 16S ribosomal RNA". It matches the Rfam family "Bacterial small subunit ribosomal RNA", at positions 508 to 807 of the family's 1533-position model. The record is from RNAcentral.
GCAGUAGCCGCGGUAACACGUAGGCGGCAAGCGUUGUCCGGAUUUAUUGGGCGUAAAGCGAGCGCAGGCGGUUCCUUAAGUCUGAUGUGAAAGCCCCCGGCUCAACCGGGGAGGGUCAUUGGAAACUGGGGAACUUGAGUGCAGAAGAGGAGAGUGGAAUUCCAUGUGUAGCGGUGAAACGCGUAGAUAUAUGGAGGAACACCAGUGGCGAAGGCGACUCUCUGGUCUGUAACUGACGCUGAGGCUCGAAAGCGUGGGUAGCAAACAGGAUUAGAUACCCCCGUAGUCCCUGUCUCUUAUAC